This 220-nucleotide small RNA is filed under the name Arabidopsis thaliana (thale cress). RNAcentral describes it as "ATSL099110". Lineage: Eukaryota; Viridiplantae; Streptophyta; Magnoliopsida; Brassicales; Brassicaceae. The record is from RNAcentral.
UUUAAUGUUUAAACUUAUUAUAAAGAAUUGAGAUGUGUUUUAAAAAAAUUGAAGUUUUAAGUGUAUUUGUUUUGUUAAUAUUGUUAAUUUUGUUUAGUGUUUAAGAUUGUAUAAUUACUAGAUUUUAACCCGCGGUAUACCGCGGGAAUAAUUUAUUUUUUAAAGUUAGUAUAUAUAAAAGUUUAUAAAUUGUAUCUAUCUAUAAAAUAAUUUUAUUUUA